Molecule: ribosomal RNA, 468 nt
Filed under: uncultured bacterium
Lineage: Bacteria
Description: partial 16S ribosomal RNA
Rfam family: Bacterial small subunit ribosomal RNA
Source: RNAcentral
GACGAACGCUGGCGGCGUGCUUAACACAUGCAAGUCGAACGGAAAGGCCCUGCUUUUGUGGGGUGCUCGAGUGGCGAACGGGUGAGUAACACGUGAGUAACCUGCCCUUGACUUUGGGAUAACUUCAGGAAACUGGGGCUAAUACCGGAUAGGAGCUCCUGCUGCAUGGUGGGGGUUGGAAAGUUUCGGCGGUUGGGGAUGGACUCGCGGCUUAUCAGCUUGUUUGUGGGGUAGUGGCUUACCAAGGCUUUGACGGGUAGCCGGCCUGAGAGGGUGACCGGCAAAAUUGGGACUGAGAUACGGCCCAGACUCCUACGGGAGGCAGCAGUGGGGAAUAGUGCACAAUGGGCGGAAGCCUGAUGCAGCAACGCCGCGUGCGGGAUGACGGCCUUCGGGUUGUAAACCGCUUUCGCAUGUGACGAAGCGUGAGUGACGGUAAUGGGUAAAGAAGCACCGGCUAACUACGUG